CAGUAGCCGCGGUAAUACGGAGGGUGCAAGCGUUAAUCGGAAUUACUGGGCGUAAAGCGCACGCAGGCGGUCUGACAAGUCAGAUGUGAAAUCCCCGGGCUUAACCUGGGAACUGCAUUUGAAACUGUCAGGCUGGAGUCUUGUAGAGGGGGGUAGAAUUCCAGGUGUAGCGGUGAAAUGCGUAGAGAUCUGGAGGAAUACCGGUGGCGAAGGCGGCCCCCUGGACAAAGACUGACGCUCAGGUGCGAAAGCGUGGGGAGCAAACAGGAUUAGAUACCCGUGUAGUCCCUGUCUCUUAUAC
RNAcentral lists this ribosomal RNA (301 nucleotides) under uncultured bacterium. Its description in RNAcentral is "partial 16S ribosomal RNA". It matches the Rfam family "Bacterial small subunit ribosomal RNA", at positions 509 to 807 of the family's 1533-position model. The record is from RNAcentral.